This 352-nucleotide ribosomal RNA is filed under the name uncultured bacterium. RNAcentral describes it as "bacterial SSU rRNA". It matches the Rfam family "Bacterial small subunit ribosomal RNA", at positions 917 to 1271 of the family's 1533-position model. The record is from RNAcentral.
GGGCCCGCACAAGCGGUGGAGCAUGUGGUUUAAUUCGAUGAUACGCGAGGAACCUUACCAGGGCUUAAAUGUAGUAUGACCGGUCUGGAAACAGACCUUCCCUUCGGGGCAGAUUACAAGGUGCUGCAUGGUUGUCGUCAGCUCGUGCCGUGAGGUGUUAGGUUAAGUCCUGCAACGAGCGCAACCCCUAUUCUUAGUUGCCAGCGGUUCGGCCGGGGACUCUAAGAAGACUGCCAGCGCAAGCUGAGAGGAAGGUGGGGAUGACGUCAAAUCAUCACGGCCCUUACGUCCUGGGCUACACACGUGCUACAAUGGCUAGGACAGACGGCCGCAAACCCGCGAGGGGAGCCAA